This 253-nucleotide ribosomal RNA is filed under the name uncultured bacterium. RNAcentral describes it as "partial 16S ribosomal RNA". It matches the Rfam family "Bacterial small subunit ribosomal RNA", at positions 524 to 776 of the family's 1533-position model. The record is from RNAcentral.
UACGUAGGUGGCGAGCGUUGUCCGGAUUUACUGGGCGUAAAGAGCGCGCAGGCGGCUGGUCAAGUCCGAUGUGAAAGCUCCCGGCUUAACUGGGAAAUUGCAUCGGAAACUGAUCGGCUGGAAGGUGGGAGAGGAGAGCGGAAUUCCCAGUGUAGAGGUGAAAUUCGUAGAUAUUGGGAAGAACACCGGUGGCGAAGGCGGCUCUCUGGACCGAUACUGACGCUGAGGCGCGAAAGCGUGGGGAGCAAACAGG